This 411-nucleotide ribosomal RNA is filed under the name uncultured bacterium. RNAcentral describes it as "bacterial SSU rRNA". It matches the Rfam family "Bacterial small subunit ribosomal RNA", at positions 114 to 507 of the family's 1533-position model. The record is from RNAcentral.
CACGUGGGUAACCUGCCCAAAAGAGGGGGGAUAACACUUGGAAACAGGUGCUAAUACCGCAUAAUUUGUUAAACCGCAUGGUUUGAUAAUGAAAGACGGCGUAAGCUGUCACUUUUGGAUGGACCCGCGGCGUAUUAGCUAGUUGGUGAGGUAAAAGGCCCACCCAAAGGCAAUGAUACGUAGCCGACCUGAGAGGGUGAUCGGCCACAUUGGGACUGAGACACGGCCCAAACUCCUACGGGAGGCAGCAGUAGGGAAUCUUCCACAAUGGACGAAAGUCUGAUGGAGCAACGCCGCGUGAGUGAAGAAGGUUUUCGGAUCGUAAAGCUCUGUUGUUAGAGAAGAAUGUAGGUAAGAGUAACUGUUUACCUAGUGACGGUAUCUAACCAGAAAGCCACGGCUAACUACGUG